RNAcentral lists this ribosomal RNA (493 nucleotides) under uncultured bacterium. RNAcentral describes it as "partial 16S ribosomal RNA". It matches the Rfam family "Bacterial small subunit ribosomal RNA", at positions 28 to 507 of the family's 1533-position model. The record is from RNAcentral.
GACGAACGCUGGCGGCGUGCUUAACACAUGCAAGUCGACGACGCUACUGAGUAGCAAUAUUUAGUAGUGGAGUGGCGCAAGGGUGAGUAAUGUAUACGUAACCAACCCAUCGGAGACGGAUAACAUUUCGAAAGGGAUGCUAAAACGGCAUGAAGCCACGAUUUCGCAUGAGAUUGUGGUUAAAGAACCGGUAACAGGUUGCCGAUGGCUAGGCGUAUAUCCGAUUAGUUAGUUGGUAGUGUAAUGGACUACCAAGGCGACGAUCGGUAGCUGGUCUGAGAGGAUGAUCAGCCACACUGGCACUGAGACACGGGCCAGACUCCUACGGGAGGCAGCAGUGGGGAAUAUUGGGCAAUGCCCGCAAGGGUGACCCAGCAACGCCGCGUGGAGGAUGAAGGCCGUAAGGUUGUAAACUCUGACAAGCAGGGAAGAACGGCUAUGGUAAAAGGCCAUAGAAUGACGGUACCUGCCUGAAGCCCCGGCUAACUACGUG